GGAUGAACGCUGGCGGCAUGCCUAACACAUGCAAGUUGAACGAACUUAUAUUUUUAUACAAUUUAAGUUAAGUAGCGGACGGGUGAGUAACAUGUAAGAACCUACCUUUACGAGGGGAAUAACUACUGGAAACGGUAGCUAAAACCCAUAUAAGCUGCGGAGUAAAAAGUGAAAACUACCUACAAGAUGGGCUUGCAUCUGAUUAGCUUGUUCGGUAAAGUAAUUGUUUACCAAGGCAAUGAUCAGUAGUUGGUCUAAGAGGAUGAUCAACCACACUGGGACUGAGACACGGCCCAGAACCUCUACGGAGGGCAGCAGUGAGGAAUUUUCCGCAAUGGGCGCAAGCCUGACGGACGCAAUGCCGCGUGGAAGAUGAAGGCUUUUGGGUCGUAAACUCCUUUUCUUAGCGAAGAAAAUAGACGGUAGCUAACGGAAUAAGCAUCGGCUAAUUCCGUGCCAGCAGCCGCCGGUUAAUACGGAAGAUGCGAGCGUUAUUCAGAAUUAUUGGGCGUAAAGCGUCUGUAACGUGGCUUAUAUAAGUCUACUGUUUAAA
Molecule: ribosomal RNA, 553 nt
Filed under: uncultured eukaryote
Lineage: Eukaryota
Description: bacterial SSU rRNA
Rfam family: Bacterial small subunit ribosomal RNA
Source: RNAcentral